GCCAUGGACGAAAGUCUAGACCGAGCAACGCCGCGUGAGUGAAGAAGGUGUUCGGAUGCGUAAAGCUCUGUUGUAAGAGAAGAACGGGUGUGAGAGUGGAAAGUUCACACUGUGACGGUAUCUUACCAGAAAGGGACGGCUAACUACGUGCCAGCAGCCGCGGUAAUACGUAGGUCCCCGAGCGUUGUCCGGAUUUAUUGGGCGUAAAGCGGGCGCAGGCGGUUAGAUAAGUCUGAAGUUAAAGGCUGUGGCUUAACCAUAGUACGCUUUGGAAACUGUUUAACUUGAGGUGCAGAAGGGGGGAGUGGAAUUCCAUGUGUACCGGGUGAAAAUGCGUAGAUAUAUGGAGGAACACCGGUGGCGAAAGCGGCUCUCUGGUCUGUAACUGACGCUGAGGCUCGAAAGCGUGGGGAGCGAACAGGAUUAGAUACCCUGGUAGUCCACGCCGUAAACGAUGAGUGCUAGGUGUUAGGCCUUUCCGGGGCUUAGUGCCGCAGCUAACGCAUUAA
Molecule: ribosomal RNA, 509 nt
Filed under: Streptococcus gordonii
Lineage: Bacteria; Bacillati; Bacillota; Bacilli; Lactobacillales; Streptococcaceae
Description: bacterial SSU rRNA
Rfam family: Bacterial small subunit ribosomal RNA
Source: RNAcentral